AAUCUGUGAGGUAAUCAGCCCGCUUAACUGGUUGAAUUCUGCAGAGACUGGCAUACUAUGCACCGGGAGAAGUGUGGGGUACUCUAGGGGUAGGGAUAAAAUCCUGUCAUCCUUAGAGGACCACCAGUUGCGAAGGCGCCCCACUGGAACGGAUCCCACCGUCAAGGACCAAACCUAGGGGCACCAACCGGAUUAAAUACCCGGGUAGUCCUAGGUGUAAACGCUGUGAACUUGGUGUCGGGGGUCCGCAAGGGGUCCCCGGUGCCCGAGUGAAAAUGUUGAGUUCACUGCCUGGGGAGUACCGUCUCAAGGGUGAAACUUAAAGGAAUUGGCGGGGGAACACUGCAACGGGAGGAGCGCGCGGUUUAAUUGGAUUCCACGCCCGAAAACUCACCAAGGCCGACUGUUAGAUGAAAAUCACCGUAAUGAGAUUAUCGGAUUUUCGCAGAGGUGGUGCAUGGGCGCCCCCACUUCUCACUGCAAAGCGUUCUGUUCACUCAGAUAACGAACGAGACCCUCAUCUCUAUUUGCUACCCGUCUCUCCAGAGACAGUGCACUAUAAGGAGACCGCUGGUGUUAAACCACAGGAAGGCGAGGGCAACGACUGGUCAUCAUGCCCCGAAUGUCCUGCGCUACACGCGCGCUACAAAGGACGGGACAAUGGGAAGCUAGACCGAGAGGUCGCGCUAACCCGACACCCGUUCGUACUUCGUAGUGAGGGCUGUCACUCGUCCUCAUGAAGCUGGAUUCCGUAGUAAUCGUGUUUCAACAUAGCACGGAGAAUAUGUCCCUGCUGCUUGCAC
RNAcentral lists this ribosomal RNA (803 nucleotides) under uncultured archaeon. RNAcentral describes it as "bacterial SSU rRNA". It matches the Rfam family "Archaeal small subunit ribosomal RNA", at positions 536 to 1342 of the family's 1478-position model. The record is from RNAcentral.